Molecule: long non-coding RNA, 319 nt
Organism: Daphnia carinata
Lineage: Eukaryota; Metazoa; Arthropoda; Branchiopoda; Diplostraca; Daphniidae
Exons: 2
Source: RefSeq, a predicted model, not a curated record
GAUGAGCGAUCCGAAUAUGUAGAGCAGAUAAUGACCAAUCAGGGCUUUCUUACGGCCGCAAUAUUGCAUCGGAAUGCUGAUGGCCAGCGCCCCGAAGAAAGAGCCGCACAUGGGCAUUGCAGCUACGCCAGAAACACAGAUCCAUUUGAAAUCGUCUACGUCCAUUUCGAAAUCUAAUGUUCGAUUGAGAGAUGGCAAUCCAGGUGAGCCCCAUCCUCGGACGGUGCCCAUGCAAAAGUAACCCCACGACCCGACCACUGCUGCCAUCAACUGCCACAUACAAUUCGGGUAAAUACAUUUAAGGAUUUUAUGUAAGAAA